GACGAACGCUGGCGGCGUGCCUAAUACAUGCAAGUUGAGCGCUGAAGGUUGGUACUUGUACGAACUGGAUGAGCAGCGAACGGGUGAGUAACGCGUGGGGAAUCUGCCUUUGAGCGGGGGACAACAUUUGGAAACGAAUGCUAAUACCGCAUAAAAACUUUAAACACAAGUUUUAAGUUUGAAAGAUGCAAUUGCAUCACUCAAAGAUGAUCCCGCGUUGUAUUAGCUAGUUGGUGAGGUAAAGGCUCACCAAGGCGAUGAUACAUAGCCGACCUGGGAGGGUGAUCGGCCACAUUGGGACUGAGACACGGCCCAAACUCCUACGGGAGGCAGCAGUAGGGAAUCUUCGGCAAUGGACGAAAGUCUGACCGAGCAACGCCGCGUGAGUGAAGAAGGUUUUCGGAUCGUAAAACUCUGUUGGUAGAGAAGAACGUUGGUGAGAGUGGAAAGCUCAUCAAGUGACGGUAACUACCCAGAAAGGGACGGCUAACUACGUGCCAGCCGCCGCUGUAA
This 513-nucleotide ribosomal RNA is filed under the name uncultured bacterium. RNAcentral's name for it is "partial 16S ribosomal RNA". It matches the Rfam family "Bacterial small subunit ribosomal RNA", at positions 28 to 523 of the family's 1533-position model. The record is from RNAcentral.